UACGGAGGAUGCAAGCGUUAUCCGGAUUUAUUGGGUUUAAAGGGUGCGCAGGUUGUUUGAUAAGUCAGUGGUGAAAGUCUGUCGCUUAACGGUAGGAUUGCCAUUGAUACUGUUGGACUUGAAUAUGGAUGAGGUAGGCGGAAUGUGUAGUGUAGCGGUGAAAUGCAUAGAUAUACCACAGAACGCCGAUUGCGAAGGCAGCUUACUAAGCUGUUACUGACGCUGAGGCACGAAAGCGUGGGGAUCAAACAGGA
This 254-nucleotide ribosomal RNA is filed under the name uncultured prokaryote. RNAcentral's name for it is "partial 16S ribosomal RNA". It matches the Rfam family "Bacterial small subunit ribosomal RNA", at positions 524 to 777 of the family's 1533-position model. The record is from RNAcentral.